This is a long non-coding RNA of Malus domestica (apple), 609 nucleotides long. RefSeq lists it as uncharacterized. NCBI's taxonomy places the organism in Eukaryota, Viridiplantae, Streptophyta, Magnoliopsida, Rosales, Rosaceae. The record is from RefSeq and is a predicted model, not a curated record.
AAAAAAGGUGAUUAAUCCUCUCUGUCCUCCCUCCCUCCCCUCUUCGUCUCUCCUCCCUACCGUAUCCUCGCUCCCUCUUCUCUUUCACGCAACGGAGCUGUCGUCCAGCGGUCACCAACGACCGUCAAAUGACAUCUCCAGAAUCUCUUUCCGUCCUCUUUCCAAACCACAGGUAUGGGAGCGGCAUACGGGACGAUGAAGACCGGAGUUGGAGUGGCGACGAUGGGUGUGAUGAGGCCAGAGCUGGUGAUGAAGUCGAUCGUGCCGGUGGUUGUAGCGCGAGUUUUGGGUGGAGCGAAGGUGAAAGCUGACGAAGAUGUUCCACAGAGAGGUUCCUGAAGCUUAUGAUCGGCCUCUCUUCUCAGGUAUUGAUGUAACUUCAUUUUAAUGCAGUAUGAUGCUUUUAGAGAUUGUUUUGGCCAAACAAUUUCUCUGUGCACACUAAUAAACUAUAUCAAUUUCUCUGUGCACAAAUAAACUUUACUAAGCUUAGAGAUUGUUUAGGCUGAAUAAUUUUUCUUUAAUUUAUAAUGUUGAUUUCUUGUUUGAGUUUCACAUGUGAUUGAUCUAUCAAGAACAGAAACCGAGGUGCUCCUAUUGGUCACGAUU